AGUGAACGCUGGCGGUAGGCCUAACAUAUGCAAGUCGAACGGCAGCACAGUAAGAGCUUGCUCUUACGGGUGGCGAGUGGCGGACGGGUGAGGAAUACAUCGGAAUCUACUUUUUCGUGGGGGAUAACGUAGGGAAACUUACGCUAAUACCGCAUACGACCUACGGGUGAAAGCUGGGGAUCUUCGGACCUUGCGCGAUUGAAUGAGCCGAUGUCGGAUUAGCUAGUUGGCGGGGUAAAGGCCCACCAAGGCGACGAUCCGUAGCUGGUCUGAGAGGAUGAUCAGCCACACUGGAACUGAGACACGGUCCAGACUCCUACGGGAGGCAGCAGUGGGGAAUAUUGGACAAUGGGCGCAAGCCUGAUCCAGCCAUACCGCGUGGGUGAAGAAGGCCUUCGGGUUGUAAAGCCCUUUUGUUGGGAAAGAAAAGCAGCAGGUUAAUACCCCGCUGUUCUGACGGUACCCAAAGAAUAAGCACCGGCUAACUUCGUG
This 492-nucleotide ribosomal RNA is filed under the name uncultured bacterium. RNAcentral describes it as "partial 16S ribosomal RNA". It matches the Rfam family "Bacterial small subunit ribosomal RNA", at positions 29 to 507 of the family's 1533-position model. The record is from RNAcentral.